Molecule: long non-coding RNA, 493 nt
Filed under: Daucus carota (carrot)
Lineage: Eukaryota; Viridiplantae; Streptophyta; Magnoliopsida; Apiales; Apiaceae
Description: long non-coding RNA (DCAR_LNC005319)
Source: RNAcentral
AAGCUACAAGCCACAGGCCUUUUGCAUUAUAAUCUAAACACCCUUCUGAAUAAUCACUCUCUCAAGCACACAGACCCUACAUUUACAUACUCCUACUGUACUUCACAGUUCACAGGAAGCAGCUCCAAGCUCAGUCAUGGCUAAGAACACCGGAGGCGCGGCGAAGACCAAAGGUUUAGGAAGGUUUAUGAAGCAACAAAGAGGAAGGAUCUACAUUAUCAGAACCUGUGUAGUUAUGUUACUUUGCUGGCAUGACUAAGCCAUUGCUCAUUCCUCUGUAAAUUUGUACAUACCGGAAAAAACUUUUGUAGAUCAGAUUUAUAUUAUUAUGGAGUAAGCUAAUUUUAAUCCCAGUGCUGUCCUUUUUUAGUUACUCCCUUCUUUUUCUUUCAUUUCUCGUCCCUCUAUACUCAUUCCGCAACUCCACUGAUACUUGAACUCUCGAUUUCUUGUUACCGAAUGACGGAUAAUAUCGGUACUGACUAGUAACUAC